ACCAGGUAGCAUUCCUCACCGACGUCGAUAGGCGUGCUGCAAUCCGCAAGGAAUCCACCACAACCGAUACGAACGUCGUUCGCACGUAGCGUUGAACACUUUGUUCCGAGGGGCAAAUAGAGGCCGAGGCCUCGUGCCCACAACACGUUCCGCAUCCGAGAUUUCGAGCAAUGCGCCUUGGGCGGGCUACACGAGCGCAUGCGCACACACGCACGAGUGCCGACCACGACGCAUGCUAUGAGUUCCAAUCCGCACCACGACACAGCUGGGUGACGCAAAGCAGAAUGGAAAAGGGACGAUUUGGCCGACGUAAUGCCCUAAAGAUAGGUAUCGAGCACAGGAGGCCGCAAUCGAACAGGGCUUGGUGGCCCUUGUGCCGAUGAUUGAAGAGGCGCGGUUGGGAUGCG
Molecule: unclassified non-coding RNA, 407 nt
Filed under: Prostanthera grylloana
Lineage: Eukaryota; Viridiplantae; Streptophyta; Magnoliopsida; Lamiales; Lamiaceae
Description: partial external transcribed spacer
Source: RNAcentral